UCGCCCAAUGAGUCAGCGCCUCGCCCGCUGUUGUGUGGGAGUGUAGUUCCACAAAACAGAAAUACUUGAGGGAAAGUUAGCCGUUGAUUAAAAUCGGCGGAACGCGCUACGGUUACGUGACGGACAUUUCAGCAAACACUUCCUGCUAGUUAUAUUCCCAUAAUGCUUUGCGUUCCAACGUAUUCGUAGCCUGAAUAACACAAAGUCCAUAAUAAAUAGGAACUUAAUGAAUGACACUGAGCUGUUCUGUAAAUCGUACCAUUCGGGGAAGAUGCCGUUUUCAGGGUGUAAGCAUAGCUAGCUAGCUAGCUAGCUAACUGCCCGCUUAGUGGUACAGAUGGGUCAAAUUGUUAACAACUAACCGCCGUUGCUCCGAUUUAGGCUCUCAGAUAGGAGAGGGCAAAGGUGACUCAUGCUGGACGCCCGAGAGCGCGCAAACGCCACAAAGGAAGGCCGCAGCCGAGAUCCGCAACCCAAAGCUCGUGCUAACCACUACGCCGCCGUGCUGCCCUUACGACAACAUUCAUAAUAAAAAUGUGGCCCCAACGUGACCUGGUGCCAAUGCGACGUCACACGAGUGCGGGGACUUUGUGCUUUAAGAAUGUGGGAAGGAGCCGGAGUACCUGGACUCACCUAACCUGGAUUCAAACCCCCAACCUUAAUAUUGGGAGGCGGAUGUGCUGCCCACUGUUUCCAAAACGCCAACGUGGAAUUGGCCCAGAUGAAGCCAAGUCGAAAGCAGGGACAGAAGAGACUGACGACGUUCAAGCGUGAAGCUUUUUUGUUGUUGCAGAUGUCCUCUCAUGUGGGCGCAGCAUAUCGACAAGUUGGUCAUAUGAUGAAAAAGCGAGUGGGAGUGUAAAAUUGAAAAAUAGUAAAAUUAUCAAUCUGAUUUCACUUCAUUGGUCUGAAAAUUAUUUACUGCAAAAAAUGUAUAUCUUUAACUGGCAAUACAAUGAAAUGCUCAUCAUCAUCAUCCUUAUUUUAGUAUAUGGUGCAAAUGUGUCUAUUCGCUUUUUUUUUUUUUUUUUUUUUUUAUAAACCUGAGACGUAUUUGCUAAAAAAAAAAAAAAAACUCACCUACUUGCCGUUUUUGUCUUCAUGCCAAAGCAAUAACAGUGUUGAUUUGGCACCGUUUGGUGGCAUCUUGGUGCCAAGGUAGUAUGCUGAAGUGAGUUGAGGAGUUUCAUUUGGACAAGUAAUGCUUUGCUGCCAUUUUGUGGCAUCACUGAGGGGGACUGCAAAUAGCAGGGGCAUCACUGUAUAUUCUUAGCUUUUUUGGGUGCUUCGCUGUCUGAAUAAAGAUUGAUCAGAUCAACACUGGCCUAAUA
This is a long non-coding RNA of Phycodurus eques (leafy seadragon), 1331 nucleotides long. RefSeq lists it as uncharacterized. Lineage: Eukaryota; Metazoa; Chordata; Actinopteri; Syngnathiformes; Syngnathidae. The transcript is spliced from 3 exons. The record is from RefSeq and is a predicted model, not a curated record.